Molecule: non-coding RNA, 26 nt
Filed under: Rattus norvegicus (Norway rat)
Lineage: Eukaryota; Metazoa; Chordata; Mammalia; Rodentia; Muridae
Source: RNAcentral
UAGCAUCCUUAGAGGUCACAAGCAUU